GACAAGCAGAAGUUACCUUGCUCCUAGAAGAAAGAGAAAGGACACUCCAAGAUGAAAACUGUGGGGCCGAGACACGUCGAAGUGUAAAGAGCAGCUCUGUGCUGCUGAAGGACGAUUGCCGGGCAUAGCCUCACGCUUGGGAGCUGCCUAGUGACAAGCUGUGUGGAGGGCUGAGCGUGUACCCAGAGCUGGCCCUGUCUUUUAAACUGACUGCUUCCUGGAAGCUCUCUCAGCUGAGACAUUCUGGGAUCCCAAGAGAGUAUGCUGAUCUCUUCAUUAUCUCAGAAUCGAACUGAGAACUGGAACAAGGAUAACAGAGGUGAGGGGCCACAUUCCACUCUCCAUUUCCUGUGAAGCUGCAUUUGUUGACUGAGACAGCAGGCAAGCGCCUGGCCAGCAGUGAAUGACCAUGGUGGCAUAGCCUGGCUUCAAGGUGCCCUGGAAGCAGAUGGCCUGGCUGGUGUAGCUCCUAGAUCGGGGCGGGCUCCGCCCUCCACCCGAAGGGGAAGUAUCUGGACUGUGUUGUGAGAGACCAUAGAAGACAGAUGGUUUUUCACUGUGACUCUCACAUAUCUUUGCUCCCAAUAGAUAUGCCCCCUCAGCCCCUUCUAGCACAUGUUAAUCUUCACCCCUUUUGAUAAAAUAUCCAAAU
Bos taurus (domestic cattle) is the source of this 652-nucleotide long non-coding RNA. Lineage: Eukaryota; Metazoa; Chordata; Mammalia; Artiodactyla; Bovidae. The record is from Ensembl.